UGUCGUUUUAUUUCCAUAUAUCUCCCGAUACCACCAUUAUAUUCUAUUUCUUAUUGAAAUAUAAAGUGCAUUAAUUAAUGUACAUUUACGUGUAUCUUGAUGUAGUUUGAAGGAUAUGAAUAAACCUUGAACAUAGCUGUAAUACGGACGGACACUCGGAGUUGGCAAACAUUGAGGAACAGUCAAACGUUCAAUAAAGGUCUUUGAUCUACUAUCCCUUCAAUGUGAAAAUGGAACAUUCUCUAGACGAGUCUAUUCCAGUCUGCUUUUUCCUGCCUGAGUAGUCACUGUUUGCCUUGAAGUGGCAUUUGCAGCUUUACCAGUCUUGAGGUGGCCUAGCGCAGAUGGUGCUUAGCCUUGAAUCUCGAUCAUCAAGCUACCAUUGUCACUACUAAUAUAGGCACAAAAACGAUGGAAGUCUUCAUAUAUAUUGCUGCUUAGUUGACAUGGCGAGAUGA
Long non-coding RNA from Papilio xuthus (Asian swallowtail), 458 nucleotides. RefSeq lists it as uncharacterized. The record is from RefSeq and is a predicted model, not a curated record. The transcript is spliced from 3 exons. Lineage: Eukaryota; Metazoa; Arthropoda; Insecta; Lepidoptera; Papilionidae.